AUACUUACCUGGCAGGAGAGAUACCAUGAUCACAAAGGUGGUUUUCCCAGGGCGAGGCUUAUCCAUUGCACACCGGGUGUGCCGAUUCCUGUGAUUUCCCCAAAUGUGGGAAACCUGACUGCAUAAUUUGUGGUAGGCGGAUAAUGCGUUCGAGCUCUCCCCUG
This is a small nuclear RNA of Pteronotus mesoamericanus, 164 nucleotides long. RefSeq annotates it as U1 spliceosomal RNA. The record is from RefSeq and is a predicted model, not a curated record. Lineage: Eukaryota; Metazoa; Chordata; Mammalia; Chiroptera; Mormoopidae. The transcript has a single exon.